RNAcentral lists this ribosomal RNA (380 nucleotides) under uncultured marine Chaetocerotaceae. RNAcentral's name for it is "SSU rRNA". It matches the Rfam family "Eukaryotic small subunit ribosomal RNA", at positions 587 to 972 of the family's 1831-position model. The record is from RNAcentral. Lineage: Eukaryota; Bacillariophyta; Thalassiosirophyceae; Chaetocerotales; Chaetocerotaceae.
AGCUCCAAUAGCGUAUAUUAAAGUUGCUGCAGUUAAAAAGCUCGUAGUUGCAUUUCCGAGGCAAGGGAUUAGUCCGACCUUUGGUGGGUAUUUAAUCCUCUUGCCUCGUCCUUGAGGGGUGCUUCUUGGUAUUAAGUUAUCGAGGAGAUAGCCGCUCAUCGUUUACUGUGAGAAAAUUAGAGUGUUCAAAGCAGGCUUAUGCCGUUGAAUAUAUUAGCAUGGAAUAAUAAAUAGGACCUCGGUACUAUUUUGUUGGUUUGAGAACCAAGGUAAUGAUGAAUAGGGACAGUUGGGGGUAUUCGUAUUCAGUUGUCAGAGGUGAAAUUCUUAGAUUUACGGAAGACGAACUACUGCGAAAGCAUUUACCAAGGAUGUUUUCA